GUCGAACGGAAAGGCCCUGCUUUUGUGGGGUGCUCGAGUGGCGAACGGGUGAGUAACACGUGAGUAACCUGCCCUUGACUUUGGGAUAACUUCAGGAAACUGGGGCUAAUACCGGAUAGGAGCUCCUGCUGCAUGGUGGGGGUUGGAAAGUUUCGGCGGUUGGGGAUGGACUCGCGGCUUAUCAGCUUGUUGGUGGGGUAGUGGCUUACCAAGGCUUUGACGGGUAGCCGGCCUGAGAGGGUGACCGGCCACAUUGGGACUGAGAUACGGCCCAGACUCCUACGGGAGGCAGCAGUGGGGAAUAUUGCACAAUGGGCGGAAGCCUGAUGCAGCAACGCCGCGUGCGGGAUGACGGCCUUCGGGUUGUAAACCGCUUUCGCCUGUGACGAAGCGUGAGUGACGGUAAUGGGUAAAGAAGCACCGGCUAACUACGUGCCAGCAGCCGCGGUGAUACGUAGGGUGCGAGCGUUGUCCGGAUUUAUUGGGCGUAAAGGGCUCGUAGGUGGUUGAUCGCGUCGGAAGUGUAAUCUUGGGGCUUAACCCUGAGCGUGCUUUCGAUACGGGUUGACUUGAGGAAGGUAGGGGAGAAUGGAAUUCCUGGUGGAGCGGUGGAAUGCGCAGAUAUCAGGAGGAACACCAGUGGCGAAGGCGGUUCUCUGGGCCUUUCCUGACGCUGAGGAGCGAAAGCGUGUGGAGCGAACAGGCUUAGAUAC
This 713-nucleotide ribosomal RNA is filed under the name Cutibacterium acnes. RNAcentral's name for it is "bacterial SSU rRNA". It matches the Rfam family "Bacterial small subunit ribosomal RNA", at positions 61 to 785 of the family's 1533-position model. Lineage: Bacteria; Bacillati; Actinomycetota; Actinomycetes; Propionibacteriales; Propionibacteriaceae. The record is from RNAcentral.